GGAUGGACCUGCGGUGCAUUAGCUAGUUGGUAAGGCAACGGGCUUACCAAGGCAAUGAUGCAUAGCCCGAGUUGAGAGACUGAUCGGCCACAUUGGGGACUGAGACACGGGCCCAAACUCCUACGGGAGGCAGCAGUAGGGAAUCUUCCACAAUGGACGCAAGUCUGAUGGAGCAAACGCCGCGUGAGUGAAGAAGGGUUUCGGCUCGUAAAAAGCUCUGUUGGUAGUGAAGAAAGAUAGAGGUAGUAACUGGCCCUUUAUUUGACGGUAAUUACUUAGAAAGUCACGGGCUAACUACGUGCCCAGCAGCCGCGGUAAAU
Molecule: ribosomal RNA, 320 nt
Filed under: uncultured Lactobacillus sp.
Lineage: Bacteria; Bacillati; Bacillota; Bacilli; Lactobacillales; Lactobacillaceae
Description: bacterial SSU rRNA
Rfam family: Bacterial small subunit ribosomal RNA
Source: RNAcentral